AUGUCAAGGCUAGGGCAUUUUCUGAAAAAAUUCUUGAACCUCUCCUAUGCCUCCGGAUAGCUCUCGAGAUCUUUCUGCUUAAAGGUAUGGAUAUCAUUCCUAAUUU
RNAcentral lists this small nucleolar RNA (106 nucleotides) under Olea europaea subsp. europaea. Its description in RNAcentral is "Plant small nucleolar RNA R71". It matches the Rfam family "Plant small nucleolar RNA R71". From Rfam's summary of the family: R71 is a member of the C/D box family of snoRNAs containing the C (UGAUGA) and D (CUGA) box motifs. Multiple nearly identical copies of this snoRNA have been identified in Arabidopsis, and it is thought to function as a 2'-O-ribose methylation guide for 18S ribosomal RNA. Lineage: Eukaryota; Viridiplantae; Streptophyta; Magnoliopsida; Lamiales; Oleaceae. The record is from Rfam by way of RNAcentral.